GCCCCGGUGCCCGGGCGGGCGGGCAGAGCGGCGGGAGCGCUGCCAGCAGAGCCCAGCCGGCUGCCAGGCUCCGCUCCCCGCCCUUCUUCCCCUGGGCUGUGCCAGGCCGUGCCGAGGAGCCCGCCGUGCCACCAGCCCCCCGAGAGGCCGCCCUCGGUGCCACCAGGCUGAACGGAGCCCCGAGCGAGGGCACGGAGGCGCCCCACCAGGGAACCCUCGAGGGAACCCGUGCCAAGCUGGGCCAGGACGCCGAGCUCGCGGGGACGCCUGAGGGACACGAUGUGGCCGCCCCAAAGGGCAGGCAAGUGACGCUCCUCGACAGGAUCUUCAGGCUGGAGAAGGGCAAGGGAAGGACACAGAGUGACCCCCAGGAGGGAAGGCAGAGCUUGGAUGAUCCCGAUGGGAGCAUCGCGGCCGGCGCGCCCAACGGGGUCCUGCUGGGAAAGGAGCUAGAUGAGUGCAGGCAAAAGGAGCUCGGGCAGGACUCUGCAGGUGACCGGAGCCCGGCUGCUGCAGCAGCUGGCAGGGCACAGGUGGAGCAGGGCAGUGCCCAGGCAGCUGCAGGACAGGGCUCAGUCAUGAGCUUCCUCAGAACACUGGUCUCCUCAAGCAAAGCUGAAGCCAAAAGUGAUUCUGAAGAUAAGUGUUCAGUCUUUGCAGCAAGCUUG
This 668-nucleotide long non-coding RNA is filed under the name Lonchura striata (white-rumped munia). RNAcentral's name for it is "domestica (Bengalese finch) lncRNA (ENSLSDG00000002712.1)". Lineage: Eukaryota; Metazoa; Chordata; Aves; Passeriformes; Estrildidae. The record is from RNAcentral.